GAUGAACGCUGGCGGCGUGCCUAAUACAUGCGAGUCGAGCGAACAGACGAGGAGCUUGCUCCUCUGACGUUAGCGGCGGACGGGUGAGUAACACGUGGAUAACCUACCUAUAAGACUGGGAUAACUUCGGGAAACCGGAGCUAAUACCGGAUAAUAUAUUGAACCGCAUGGUUCAAUAGUGAAAGACGGUUUUGCUGUCACUUAUAGAUGGAUCCGCGCCGCACUAGCUAGUUGGUAAGGUAACGGCUUACCAAGGCGACGAUGCGUAGCCGACCUGAGAGGGUGAUCGGCCACACUGGAACUGAGACACGGUCCAGACUCCUACGGGAGGCAGCAGUAGGGAAUCUUCCGCAAUGGGCGAAAGCCUGACGGAGCAACGCCGCGUGAGUGAUGAAGGUCUUCGGAUCGUAAAACUCUGUUAUUAGGGAAGAACAAAUGUGUAAGUAACUAUGCACGUCUUGACGGUACCUAAUCAGAAAGCCACGGCUAACUACGUG
Molecule: ribosomal RNA, 497 nt
Filed under: uncultured bacterium
Lineage: Bacteria
Description: partial 16S ribosomal RNA
Rfam family: Bacterial small subunit ribosomal RNA
Source: RNAcentral